CUGCACCGGCGACAGCCAGAUCUUCCACAUAUCAUGGACAGGAUGAAGCGUACUCAAGGGCUGAAUGGCCAAGCAAACAGAUGCAUUAUGAAAUGAGGCUGAGGUUGGAGAUAUGGAGAUAAACAUCCACAAUGCCCUGACAACAUUGGCACCAAAUAUCAUCAGGGCGGCUCUGCUGGGGAGCCACAAGGGACAAUUCACCACCUUGAUGACUGAGGCCAAAGCAGACGAUCAUCUGAAGAGUGCUGCGGAAGAGUGGUG
This is a long non-coding RNA of Engraulis encrasicolus (European anchovy), 261 nucleotides long. RefSeq lists it as uncharacterized. The record is from RefSeq and is a predicted model, not a curated record. NCBI's taxonomy places the organism in Eukaryota, Metazoa, Chordata, Actinopteri, Clupeiformes, Engraulidae. The transcript is spliced from 3 exons.